This 468-nucleotide ribosomal RNA is filed under the name uncultured bacterium. RNAcentral describes it as "partial 16S ribosomal RNA". It matches the Rfam family "Bacterial small subunit ribosomal RNA", at positions 28 to 507 of the family's 1533-position model. The record is from RNAcentral.
GACGAACGCUGGCGGCGUGCUUAACACAUGCAAGUCGAACGGAAAGGCCCUGCUUUUGUGGGGUGCUCGAGUGGCGAACGGGUGAGUAACACGUGAGUAACCUGCCCUUGACUUUGGGAUAACUUCAGGAAACUGGGGCUAAUACCGGAUAGGAGCUCCUGCUGCAUGGUGGGGGUUGGAAAGUUUCGGCGGUUGGGGAUGGACUCGCGGCUUAUCAGCUUGUUCGUAGGGUAGUGCCUUACCAAGGCUUUGACGGGUAGCCGGGCUGUGAUCGUGAGCGGCCUCAUUACGAGUGGGAUGCGGCCGAGACUGCUACGGGAGGCAGAAGUCGGGAAUAUGGCACUGUGGGCGAAAACCUGUUGCAGCAACGACGCGCGCGAGAUGACGACCUUAGGGUUGUAAUCGGCUUUCGCCUGUGACGAAUUGUGAGUGUCGGUAAUGGGUAAAGAAGCACCGGCUAACUACGUG